RNAcentral lists this small RNA (125 nucleotides) under Marmota monax (woodchuck). The record is from RNAcentral. Lineage: Eukaryota; Metazoa; Chordata; Mammalia; Rodentia; Sciuridae.
GCUGGGCAUGAUGGCACACGCCUGUAAUCCCAGUGACUCAGGAGGCUGAGGCAGGAGGAUUGCAAGUUCAAAGCCAGCCUCAGCAAAAGUGAGGUGCUAAGCAACUUGGUGAGACCCUGUCUCUA